RNAcentral lists this ribosomal RNA (817 nucleotides) under uncultured bacterium. RNAcentral's name for it is "bacterial SSU rRNA". It matches the Rfam family "Bacterial small subunit ribosomal RNA", at positions 9 to 825 of the family's 1533-position model. The record is from RNAcentral.
GAGUUUGAUCCUGGCUCAGGAUGAACGCUAGCUACAGGCUUAACACAUGCAAGUCGAGGGGCAUCAGGGAUUAGCAAUAAUCUGCUGGCGACCGGCGCACGGGUGAGUAACACGUAUCCAACCUUCCUUUAACUCGGGGAUAGCCUUUCGAAAGAAAGAUUAAUACCCGAUAAUAUAAGCUAACCUCCUGGUUUACUUAUUAAAGAAUUUCGGUUAUCGAUGGGGAUGCGUUCCAUUAGGCAGUUGGCGGGGUAACGGCCCACCAAACCUUCGAUGGAUAGGGGUUCUGAGAGGAAGGUCCCCUACACUGGAACUGAGACACGGUCCAGACUCCUACGGGAGGCAGCAGUGAGGAAUAUUGGUCAAUGGACGCAAGUCUGAACCAGCCAAGUAGCGUGAAGGAUGACUGCCCUAUGGGUUGUAAACUUCUUUUAUAUGGGAAUAAAACGCUCCACGUGUGGAGCUUUGUAUGUACCAUUAUGAAUAAGCAUCGGCUAACUCCGUGCCAGCAGCCGCGGUAAUACGGAGGAUGCGAGCGUUAUCCGGAUUUAUUGGGUUUAAAGGGAGCGUAGGUGGAUUGAUAAGUCAGCCUGUGAAAGUUUGCGGCUCAACCGUAAAAUUGCAGUUGAUACUGUCAGUCUUGAGUACAGUAGAGGUUAGCGGAAUUCGUGGUGUAGCGGUGAAAUGCUUAGAUAUCACGAAGAACUCCAAUUGCGAGGCAGCUGACUAGACUGUAACUGACACUGAGGCUCGAAGUGUGGGUAUCAACAGGAUAGAUACCUGGUAGUCCCACAGUAACGAUGAAUACUCGCUGUUG